UUUUUUUUUCUACAACUGACUCACUUUUUCCUAUCCUGGCUCUUCUAGAAGGGUUACUAGGAAUCCCUAAAUAACUUGGGCCAAGCCCAAAACCAUAAGUGAAAAAGAAUGCAAGGCACCAGCCCUAGAACCACUCCUAACUUUACUAUGUUUAAUUAGUUUAUCACUUAGAAGACUAAAGGCAUGUCCACAGACUUUGUGCCUCUACCUUUCCUUCCAGACUGACACAUUUUUAUCCUUUCAGAAUAGGGCAUUAUGAAUCCAUGUCAUACCUUACUUCAUUCAUUAUUUCUAUGCCUGAUGUUCUUUUAAUGUCCUGCUCAUUUCUGAGUGAAGCAGGAGCUUUUGAACUGUGUCAUCAGCUCACCAGAACAAGAUGUGGGACAAAGGUAUCAUAGGAAGGGCAAAGUUUCUGCACUGCUUCUGUGCGAGUCAGGACUCACAGGCUGGGUCUCAGUCUGAUAUUUUUGUCCUCCUUGCCUAAGUCAGCUUGGGCCACAUCCCAGUUUUCCUGUCAGUCCAAGGGUCCCCUGUAUCACUGUCUCUGCUGUUUGUGUCAUCAGGAGGGAUUAAUUGCGUUGACUAAAAAGCAAAUGAGGAGUUAGGGGACACAAAAUGUGCUUCCUUCACUGCAGGCAGCAACUCUAAUUGCUCUUGGCACCAAUGGGAAACACUUUUCUCCACCCAUCGCAGGAAACACACACCUUCUUCCUCUGCAGCACUAGAGCAUCCGUGGCCUUGCUUUGUGUUUCCUCCUCUGUAGUACAGGCUGUGGGUGGGUGUUUGUGCCUCUCUUCCUAGGAGAAGGAGGGAGAGACCUUUUGGAAAGGCCUGCAGCAGCAUUGUAGAGCAACUACAUGGUGGUGGAAAAGCACAGUAUUCCAGAUGCAGCCUGAGUGCCAAAUAGAGGAUGGUAAUUGCUUCCCCCCUCUCCUGGCUGUGCUCCUGCUGACACAGCUCAGGGUGCUGUUGGCCUUCAAGGCUUGAGGUUACCCCCAAGUUGACCCCCAAGGCCCCAUUCCUUUAUCUGCAGAGCUGUACCCUGCAUGGAGUUAGUCUGUCUCAGACACUGGUCGUCCCGGUUGAAUUUCAUGAGGUUCUUGUCAUACCAUUCCUCCAGUCUGAGUCCCUCUGAGUGGCAGCUCUACUCUUGACCAUACUGGCUCUCCCACUAAUUUACUGUCAUCCACAAACCUGCUCAAAGGGCACUCUGUCACAUCCUCUAGGCAUUCCUACAGACAUUAAACAGGUCAGGUCCCAGGAUAGAUCCCUACAGUACUUGACUUCUUACUAGCCUCCAAAUAGAGUACAGCCUCUGUGUCCUAGCAUCCAGUUUUUACCCAUGUGGUUGUCCACCCAUAUAGCCCACAAUGUGUAAAUUUGGAUACAAGACAGUAGACAGUGUCAAAAGCAUUGCAAAAGUCAAGGUACAUAAUAUGCUCUGUUCUUCCUCAUCUACAAAUCCAGUCAUUUUACUAUAGAAGGUUAUCAGGUUGGUGAGGCACACUGGCUGUUCCAAAUCACCUCCUCCUUCUUGUAUUCAGAAAAGUGUUCCAAGAGGACAUGGAUUUCCACAUGGACUGCAGUGAGGCUGAUCAGCUAGCAGUCUGCCUUUGGGCUUUUUUUCAAGAGUCAUUGGAGAACAUUCCAAUGGUUGUGGAGACUCCAGUCUCCACUGUCCUUCAAAGAUAAAAAUGCAGUCUUGCAAUGAAACCAGACAGCUCCCUCAACAGCUUGGAUACAGCUCUGUUGAUCCCAUGAAUGUUUAUGGGUCAAAUUCUCCCACAUAAUCCCUGAGUUGACCCUCACCCAUUCCUGGCAGUUCUUGUCCAUAAAUUGUAAGCACAGAGAUCUUGGAGACCUUGCUGAUACGCCUGAGGCAACAGUGGCUCUAGGUGCCACAAUCUCAUCUGUUUCCAUUGCCAGAUCAUUUGUCCCAUUCAGGAACAAGACCACGUUUCCCAUUUUCAGUCUUUGACUCUUGGAGUAGUGGCAGAAACUCUUCUUGUCGCCCUUGGGAUCAUUUGCAAAUCUUAAAUACAGCUUUGACCUCAGAAAAUAUUUCCAGCAGUUUCUGCAUCAACCCAGAAACCUGAGUUACCUCCCUGAUAAUGGAAAUGUACAGAUCUGAAUGUCCUCCAUAAGCUGCAGCAUAAAUUGUACUUUUCUAUAUCUGUCCAAAGGCAGCUGCUUUGUUCUGCUUUGUCAGAGAAACUGUUAAUAAUUUAAUAAUGAAAGGGAACUAAUGAGGCCUAUGGAUUUGAGCCUCAUGCUCCGAUUAUCCAUUAUCUAAUGAAGUGUGAAUUUUGACUGAAGCUUUUUCCACCCUGAGGGGAAAAAGCCACUCUCAUCCAUGCAGAUUCUCCUGUGACUAAUGAAGGGUGAGCUCACACUGCAGAUUUUGCUAUACAGGGAGUACAGGUAAGGUUACUGUUCGCUGCAUAGGCCUAGUUUCAUGACACUUAUGAAAACAUAUAAUUCUGGAAAUAUCUACCCCUUUAAUUCAGAUUUGGCCAGUGGGUUUGGGAAUUACUAGGGAGAAUGGACAUACUCGCAAAGGCUGGUCCAAUGUUAUUAUUUAAGCCUCAAGCAUUUUGAAACAUUCCAACAUUUUCUUGCACUACUUUGCAUUUCAAACAUGUCUCAUUGGAAAGGUGCAAAAUAAUUUACAUUAAAUAUUAGCCUAAUUUUUGAAACAGGUGAACCAUGAUGAUUCAUCUUUUUAAGUACAUAUCCCUUCUCAAAUCCCAUAGACUAACAAUUUCACACGUGUUUAUACACUCCAGACUUGACAGAUGGCUUAUACUUUCUAUAUCUUAUCAAAAACAAGGUUAUUUCUAAUGUCAGCCAGUACGUAUUCUGUAAAAAACAAUAUAAUCUACCAUUUUCUUCCUUUAGUAGAUUAUGCUUGGAUUUAGCAAGGAGGAAUGUUGUCUGGUCUGAUUUGAAUGCAUGUAUGCCAUGAGCAAUCCCUCAAACAGAUGCAUGAGGCUGUUGCUGUCACCUUCCCUAGACAAAUACAUUCAGGCUAAUGACUGACAGGUAAGGUGUGUUUUGCUGUGGCACAGCUAUCAUGUAUUAGCUGUCCUGUUUUAUAACUGACGUGGGGACUGAGGCACGGCACUUUUAUUGCAGGGUAAACCAGCGAGGCCAACCAAAAGCAGCAGCACAGGGCCAACCUCCCCCAGCAACCUCGCUGCAGCUUGAGUGAUUUUACAAGCAUGUAGCUAUCACAUUCAUUAUGUUUUCACUGUCAAAAAACCCUCACAAAAUCAAAAGAAGGCCCUGUGCCACUGAAGACAAGACUCAGUGUAAGUGACUGUAUAGGUGAUAAAUUCACAUAUCCUUGUCGGGGGAUGGUAUUGGUCUCACUCCAGAAGUAUGUGAUGUGAUCUAGUGUAAAUAGUGAUAAAGCUGCCUGAAAACAGGCAAUUCCAUCCCACUACAGACUGGCAGACUCCUUCCAGUCCCUGCUGUCUCCACUUAAGUGCAGCAUGUAUUCUUGACCUUCUUCUUGGUCUCACACAUACUCAUCUACAAAGACUCAUCCCAUUGAGUAAAAGAGCUGUUGUAUUGCAUAAGUGACCUAAGUAUAGUAUCUCAAAAUAGCUAUGUUGCAGGUGAGAAUUUUCUUUUUUUUUUUUUUCCUGUAAAUGUAUCCUUUCCCACCCAUAUAGCCCACAAUGUGUUCUCCCACAUAAGCAAGCAUACAGAAAAUUUGAGUACACCUGAGCACAAUGUCCUCUGUGGCAGUGCAAUAGAUGAUAAUGUGAUUCCCAGCUGAUACAAAAAAGUCCUUUAUGCCAAAAUAUUUUGCUAAGGAAGAAUUAGUGGCACUGAACUGAAUCAUGAUUUGGUCUUUGUGAGAUGUGCCUUCUUCAACAUGCCAAUGAAAAACAAAUGGAAAUACGUAAUUAUUAUUAACUAGAGACGGAAUCUAAAUUUAAGUUUUACAACACAAUAAGCAUGAGGCAUCAGCUGACCACAGCAGGCUCAGAAAUCCAAGUGGUCUGUAUCACACACCUGUGCAAAUUCAGACUUGAGAAAUCAGUGAUAAUCAGGCAGACACAGGUGAUGGGCUGGUUAUUGCAAUCUCCUACUUUAAAUCCAUCUUGUAAAUUCACCAAUCAGUUGUGUUUUAUUGGUGCCUGAAUGGCGUAAGAGUGGAGAAUCAAGCCUGAUUGGAGAGAAGAGAAUUUAGACCAUGGAGUGGUCCAAAUUAUGACCAAAUAAUGAAAUUCUCAUUCUUGUAGGAGACAGUGCCCAGACUAAACAUAUAGUGAAACCUUCAUGUAUUUUUUGCUUUAUUUCCCUUUUGAAACCUUAAAAAUACAGAAUCAUUAUGUCUUUUUUAUCACCCUAUUUCUGUUUAGUCAUUCCCUGAACUUUUGACUUAGUGUAUGCACAAAGAUUUGUAUUUUCUGACUUACUGUAUUCACAAAGACUGGUUUCAAGCUAAGAAAUUCCAGGUUAAUUCAAUAGCCUCUGCUGUAUAUAAGGUAUUAACAAAAGAAUGAUAUCUAAAUUUUGUAAAAGCAUGGGAAAAAAUGAAAAGCAUUUCUCAAAGAUUUUCUUAAAAUUAUGCUUAGCUAUAUAAUGAGGUUUUGUAUUCUCUCUCCAUAUAUCUUGAUUGGCCAUUUCUAUUUGAAAAACCAACCACCAGGGCACUUUUCAAAGUGACAUUUUCAAGUCUUUUAAUUCCAUGGCUAUUCAAAGAUUUUUCUUCUUUGAUCUUCAGAGGAAAUUCUUACAUUAUUUCUGAUGCUCUGAGCAACCGCUUUGCUCAUCCAUUCAGCCGGGUACGUGUGCAGGGAAACUCUGCUCUGCCAGGUGUAUGUGUGCCAGGCUCGUUCCUCGUCCUGUUUUCUCCUACUAGCUUCAGUGCCAUCCUUUCCUUGCACUCUCCGUGCUUCCAGAUGACCUCCACCAUCCAUGGCACUCCCACCCUUCCCAGCAGAGGGGAAUCCAAAAGCAGCGUGACUCGCUGCCCUCACACCAUCGCUACCCAGGCCAGCUGCCCAGAGCACAAGGGGCAGCAAGGCCUGUUCGGGGACGUGGUGGAGUCACCGCUCCUGGAGGUGUUUUAGGAAAAACCGGACGUGGCUCUCAGGGGCUAACACGGGCCGAACUCGAUGAUCUCAGAAGUCUAUUCUACUCUAAUUGAUGCUGUGAUCGCCGUACUAUCAUUUAUACUCUUUCUACCCAGGAAUCACAGGCGUGGCUCUUUCACGACUUUAAACAGCCCUGCAGCCCAGCGUACCCUCCAGAGGGACGGGGGCCGCCAACUCGCCGGUGGCGGACGCGCGGGCUUCUCCACCCUCUCCUCAGACCUCAGCACUUCGUCCUCCGUUCUUUUUCCCAUGCCUAAGGGGAAUUGCUCAGAACCCCCAUGAAACCCAGGGCGGACGGAACCGGGCGGUCCCGCUGCCCUCCGCUCCCCUCAGG
Molecule: long non-coding RNA, 5445 nt
Organism: Taeniopygia guttata (zebra finch)
Lineage: Eukaryota; Metazoa; Chordata; Aves; Passeriformes; Estrildidae
Source: Ensembl